GUUGCCAUCUGUCAGCUGAAGUGUUCUGCACAUUCACUGUUUGCUCAGCAUAACACAGACCAGUAGUAUUUGUCAGUAUGAGUUCCUGCACUGUGCCAAGAUAUGUGGUAAUCACCCACUGAAUGGUACCUUUCUAAAAGAGUCAGUGUUGUCUUAAACCACUUCAAAGUGAGCUCAAAAGCUUGCCUUUCUGUUCUGUGGUGUCUUCACAUUCUGACUCCAAAAACAGACAGCUUUUCUUUAAAAAUUCAGACCAUAUUAACUCUAUAAGAAGUAAAUACUUGUAACUGUGUUGCUCAGUUCAGGCUUUGUGACCUUGCCAGCUGCAAUCUGAAGACAUUUGUCAGAAUUCUAGUGCUAUAUAUUUUUCAUCACUUGCAGUAUUUCACCAGUGGCAUUAACCAGUUGGCAAUUUUCUCUCCAGUUCAUUUAUUUAUGGCAAAUCUGAAGGGAAAACAUUUGGUACCACUGUCCCUGAGAUCUCAAAUGCCACAAGCACAUGGAGGGUGGAAAAUCCAUUGGAAAAAUGGAUUUUAUAAUGGCAAGUAUUGGCUGGAGCUUUGUGGAAUCACGCAGAAAUGGAUCCUUGAACCUAAGAUAUUUUUGAACACCUUUGAUUACCCAAAACUCAUUGUUACAUCAUUGAUUCUCUCAAAGCAAAGUACUUACUCCCAGGAAUUAAACAAUAUCAGUGACUGGAAGUGGGAUUGUGAAAUAAUCCUCACCACAAUUAACAGCCUGGGACAACUGUAAAGUCUUUCAUGGAGUCUUUAUUAUCAGUGCUUACAGAAUAGGGCAUCACUCGUUUGAACUCAAUCUAUGGCUUUGAAUUUGUCAGAUAUAAGAGGACAAUUGUACAAUGCUAUUCUUCACUUUUUUAUGUGACAGCAGGUUUCAUUUGCCUCAGUAAGUUUGAAGAUGACACCAAGUUGGCAGAAAGUGUCAAUCUGCCUGAAGGUAGGAAGACCCUACAGAGGGAUCUGGACAGGCUGGAUAGCUGGACUGAGGCCAGUGGGAUGAAGUUCAACAAGACCAAGUGCUGAGUCCUGCACUUUGGUCACAACAACCCCAGGCAAUGCUACAGGCUUUGGGCAGAGUGUCUGGAAGAAUGUGUAGAAGAAAUGGACUGAGUG
Molecule: long non-coding RNA, 1133 nt
Filed under: Gallus gallus (chicken)
Lineage: Eukaryota; Metazoa; Chordata; Aves; Galliformes; Phasianidae
Description: lncRNA (ENSGALG00010007794.1)
Source: RNAcentral